Molecule: long non-coding RNA, 1410 nt
Filed under: Sorghum bicolor (sorghum)
Lineage: Eukaryota; Viridiplantae; Streptophyta; Magnoliopsida; Poales; Poaceae
Description: long non-coding RNA (SBIC_LNC015980)
Source: RNAcentral
UCCACCCCAGUGAGGAAGGACAAGCUUGGGGGAGAUCCUCUCCCCCACCAAGGUAAGUAUUCUAUCCUAUUUAUUUCCAUGCAUUUUAUCAUUCUUGCUCUAAAAAAAAUAGCAUUUCCCUUGAGCAUAUAUGCUUCAUGUAUGUCUAUAUCCCUCAUGGAAAUGAUGACUAGUUGCUUGUUAAUGUUUCUCUAGUACCUAGUAUACAACUUAGUAUUUCUCCAAGUAUGGAUCACUUAGCUCACUUAAACUGCCAUGAACCUGAAAACUUUGUGGGUUGCAAGUGCUAGAACUAAGUCUAAGUUGUUGUGGGACAUGAGAUAGUGAGACAAGAGCUGCUAUAAUAUUAUUCUAAGCAUGCAUGAUUAUCAGAGAUUUAUUCUUAAAAUGAUCAAACCCUUAAUUGUUCCUCAAUGGUGAUGAAUUCCUACCACAGCUAUAUCUACUUUACAUGAUUGCAACCUUUCCACAUAAGCUAUUUGCUUUGUGUUGAGUGUCGUCAAGUCUUGUUGACCCCUGUUAAGAGACUUUUCAUGCUCCUAAGAUCAAGAUCACGUACACACCACAUAUAUAUAUGCUGCUUCUACACUGGAAGUACGCAACCACAUGUAUUUCGCAUCCACUAAAUAGGUUGCUCCAUACUCUAAAUGUUAGAAUAUCUCUCUCUAAGCAUUAUUUGGUAAAUGAGACAUCAAAAGCCUAGGCAAAAUGAAAUAAAAAGAUGGACAUGUGCAAGUCCACAAAAAAAAAAUGAGCACAUAAAGCUCGAAGAAAAAGAAAAUGCUAGCCAUGUCUCAAUAUACAAGUAGAGAGAGUGUAGCAAAUAAAGGAGCAACCUAGUCCACCAUAUAUCACACUUGCACAUCUUGAUCUGGGAGUAUGACACUUCUCUUCAAGGAUCCGAGCUUUGAUUUCGCAACACAUGCAAAGUAAGUAUGCUAUCUCCUUUCAUCCCUACCUUAAGCUCCACAUAAGCCUUUUAGAAAUAGGAUGAAAUAGAGAAGGCAACUCUAUCAUAUGCCUUGGUGAGGAAUUAUACACCAUUUGAGUGACAUGAGAGAACCAUAUGAGGAACAUUUAAGUUUUCUUUUGAAAAUAUCACAAAACCUCUGAUAUGAAACUUGCUAAGAAUGAGAAAGUUAGUGCUCAAGUCAAACUGUUCUGUCUUUCAACCACCUAAGACAAAGGAAAAGCCAUAAGCCCCAUAAGGGACUAAGGUAAUAUGGGUAAGUUUACAUAGCUAAAUUUUUCAUGCAAAGAGAAGAACUUUGUUGUACACAUGGUACUCUUGAAAUAUGAACAUAGUAACAAUACCUGAUCCACCGAGGCUAAGUUUGAUUGUUUGCUCGGGACGAGCAAAGGUUAAGCUUGGGGGAUCUUGUUGACGGUGGAUAUACCAUAGAAAUCCAC